Long non-coding RNA from Gavialis gangeticus (Gharial), 258 nucleotides. RefSeq lists it as uncharacterized. The transcript has 3 exons. The record is from RefSeq and is a predicted model, not a curated record. NCBI's taxonomy places the organism in Eukaryota, Metazoa, Chordata, Crocodylia, Gavialidae.
CAGUUCUUGUUGCAGACUCUCUAUGUGCUUCCUUGCUGAUCUUCUGGUUUGACUCUGUUCUAACUUCAGCUUCAGACUCUAAUAAGACUCCAGGCAUUUCGUGAUUCUGCUUCUGAAUCCAGUUCUGACAGCAGACCACAUUGGGAUCCCUGGGAAACCAGCUCCCUGGGAAACCAGUUGGGGGUACAUCUGUACUUCAGUUUUACUUAGUGUCAGGAGAUUGUUGAUGUUUCAGCAUCAGCAUCCAUAUUCACCACC